RNAcentral lists this transfer RNA (76 nucleotides) under Alphaproteobacteria bacterium. RNAcentral's name for it is "tRNA-Glu". It matches the Rfam family "tRNA". Rfam says of the family: Transfer RNA (tRNA) molecules are approximately 80 nucleotides in length. Their secondary structure includes four short double-helical elements and three loops (D, anti-codon, and T loops). Lineage: Bacteria; Pseudomonadati; Pseudomonadota; Alphaproteobacteria. The record is from RNAcentral.
GACCCCAUCGUCUAGCGGCCCAGGACAUCAGCCUUUCACGCUGAAGACGGGGGUUCGACUCCCCCUGGGGUCACCA